AUAAGAGAGGGCAGUUGUCAGAGUUAUAUACUAUAAGUAGGAAAAGCUCAAGAAGAAAAGAAACAAUUGUUUACAACGAAGUUGGUACACUAUUACAGCAUGGGAAACUCCUUAAAUUAAUCGAAUCCGUGGAAAAACCUUAGAGAACAGAGUUCGUUUAUCUUCGGAAGGGCGUACCUUUAACCGGAUGCUCCAACGUGCUUUAAAUCGAUCCCUUGUGGAAAUAGACUCAAACUGUUACUCUUCAAAAAUAUUUUGAAAAAGACCUCCUCUUGAUACAAACGACUUAAGUUACGCAAGCAAACACUGUAAAUUUAUGACCUACAAUUUUAUUAACUUCCUUGAGUAAUUAGAAAUUGAGUCUGGCCGACUAGCUUUACAUGCUAUCGUUUUACGCUCUGUGUCUAAAGAGUUUGCCCAACAGAUUCAUAAAUUAUUUUUAGGUACCGCAGGCGACACCUGCACUGGUUUAAGUCCUAAAGAUUCGUGCGUAGACCUAUACUUUUUCUAAAAAAAUAGUUUGAUUUUGUUUUUAAAAGAGGUUGUAUAUGUUAACAAAGGUGCUAAAGAAAAAAUAUUAGCGAAAUAUACCUUUGCCUAACCAAACGCCAAGGCCAUCAAGGAGAAACCACACCAGCAGAAAAGCUAAGAACAAGAGGAAGAAGGAAGACUGUUCUUCCCUGUAAGGCCCCCGCUUUUGCUGUUGGUAUAAUCCGGCUCUGCCUUUCCAAAAAGGUAAGGGUACCCCUUUGCAAGGAUAAACUUUUA
Molecule: long non-coding RNA, 768 nt
Organism: Zophobas morio
Lineage: Eukaryota; Metazoa; Arthropoda; Insecta; Coleoptera; Tenebrionidae
Exons: 5
Source: RefSeq, a predicted model, not a curated record